AUACUCACUUCAGCAUCACAUACACUAAAAUUGGAAUGAAACAGAGAAGAUAAGCAUGACCUCUGAGCAAGAAUGACUCACAAACUCAUUAAGCAUUCUGUAUUUUU
Small nuclear RNA from Talpa occidentalis (Iberian mole), 107 nucleotides. NCBI's taxonomy places the organism in Eukaryota, Metazoa, Chordata, Mammalia, Eulipotyphla, Talpidae. The record is from RefSeq and is a predicted model, not a curated record.